RNAcentral lists this ribosomal RNA (437 nucleotides) under uncultured bacterium. RNAcentral describes it as "partial 16S ribosomal RNA". It matches the Rfam family "Bacterial small subunit ribosomal RNA", at positions 29 to 507 of the family's 1533-position model. The record is from RNAcentral.
AGCGAACGCUGGCGGCAGGCUUAACACAUGCAAGUCGAGCGGGCAUCCUUGUGGUGUCCGCGGCAGACGGGUGAGUAACGCGUGGGAACGUGCCCUUCGGUUCGGAAUAACUCAGGGAAACUUGAGCUAAUACCGGAUACGUGCGAGAGCAGAAAGGUUUAUCUGCCGAAGGAUCGGCCCGCGUCUGAUUAGCUAGGUGGUGAGGUUACGGCUCACCAAGGCGACGAUCAGUAGCUGGUCUGAGAGGAUGGUCAGCCACACUGGGACUGAGACACGGCCCAGACUCCUACGGGAGGCAGCAGUGGGGAAUAUUGGACAAUGGGGGCAACCCUGAUCCAGCCAUGCCGCGUGAGUGAUGACGGCCUUAGGGUUGUAAAGCUCUUUUCUCCGGGACGAUAAUGACGGUACCGGAGGAAUAAGCCCCGGCUAACUUCGUG